RNAcentral lists this ribosomal RNA (454 nucleotides) under uncultured bacterium. Its description in RNAcentral is "bacterial SSU rRNA". It matches the Rfam family "Bacterial small subunit ribosomal RNA", at positions 340 to 786 of the family's 1533-position model. The record is from RNAcentral.
UACGGAAGGCAGCAGUGGGGAAUAUUGCACAAUGGGCGCAAGCCUGAUGCAGCCAUGCCGCGUGUAUGAAAAAGGCCUUCGGGUUGUAAAGUACUUUCAGUCGUGAGGAAGGUGUUAAGGUUAAUAACCUUAGCAAUUGACGUUAGCGACAGAAGAAGCACCGGCUAACUCCGUGCCAGCAGCCGCGGUAAUACGGAGGGUGCGAGCGUUAAUCGGAAUUACUGGGCGUAAAGGGCACGCAGGCGGUUAAUUAAGUUGGAUGUGAAAUCCCCGGGCUUAACCUGGGAAUGGCAUUCAAGACUGGUUAGCUAGAGUCUUGUAGAGGGGGUAGAAUUCCAUGUGUAGCGGUGAAAUGCGUAGAGAUGUGGAGGAAUACCGGUGGCGAAGGCGGCCCCUGGGACAAAGGCUGACGCUCAUGUGCGAAAGCGUGGGGAGCAAACAGGGAUUAGAUACC